GGGGACACAGUUUCAAUCAUUGUAAGAUGGAGACAUUUUUCUGAUGGCUGUAUGGAGACAGAAGGCUAGAAAUACUUUCUCAGGUGUAAAGAGAAAGAAGAAGAAGAAUGCCUCCAUGCAAUGAAUUGACACAUCCUUCCUGAUGGACAGAUUUCUUCCCUCUAACCCAGAUGCUGUUUAAAUGGCUGUUCUUGAAGGUUAAUGAACGGUCUUUUCACGGCUCACUCCAACUUCUGCUUGUGAAUCGUGCGUUACCUGCUGCCUGCUCUCAACUCGACCCACUGGACCUGGAACUCCAUCGUACAUGUCCCGCGUCCAUCCCUAGUUUCCGGGCUGACCCUGCUCCAGUACCUGAAGCCACCACCCGCUUACCACCCGCUAGCGGCUGGGGAGGGGAGAUGAGACCGGUAUUGAUUAUACCCCAAGUGAGACUUCGGGACACAGUAAAUGACCAGCAACAGUCUAAGAGUGAGGAGGCUCCUUCAUCAGCCGGCCUGGGUCACAGAUAAGCGAACCCAGAAGACCUUCCGUUCACCGCGUUUUCACCCCCAACGGACAGACUUCAUCAUGGGUGGGAGAUCCCAACGCAGUGAAAUUGCUGAUUUUGUGCACCUGUGUGCCUCAGCCUUUCCCAGAAAGUGGGGGUGGAGAUGGGGGGUGGUCUUUUCACCCUCCCCCCCAACACAUCCCACUCCUUUGAACCCUGGCUCUCCUGAACCCCUCUGGCCUGGGCCAGUAGGCAGUUGGCACACCGGUACCUGGCCGGAGAUCUUCUGCUACCCAGAGCAGCCCCCUAUCUCGGAAUAAGAAGUGGAAGGCAAACUGGAUCGGAGGACGGACAAGACCCGCUACUCUAUCGGCCUUCCGUGGCUCCCUACCCACCAUUCAAAGAGAAGAUCAUCUCGAGCUGGGUAGACCAGCCGGUAGACAGUGAACUCGUUCCACCUCCAGGCUCUCCCCAGAAGACUGAGUGUUUGGUUGAAAUGAUGGGACUCCAGGACCACUGAUACAUCUACAGAAUCCUUCCUUAAAAGUUCUCUUAUUAAGCAUGUGCAACCCACUGACCUAAGCGCUUGGGAGAGUUUACUAGAAACAGAUGGAUGGCAUGGUCCAUUGGCUUCAGGGAGCCAUGGGCCAAUAAAGAUACUGCCUCAGUCA
Long non-coding RNA from Ornithorhynchus anatinus (platypus), 1158 nucleotides. RefSeq lists it as uncharacterized. The record is from RefSeq and is a predicted model, not a curated record. NCBI's taxonomy places the organism in Eukaryota, Metazoa, Chordata, Mammalia, Monotremata, Ornithorhynchidae. The transcript is spliced from 5 exons.